AUUGAACGCUGGCGGCAUGCUUUACACAUGCAAGUCGAACGGUAACAGGCCUUCGGGCGCUGACGAGUGGCGAACGGGUGAGUAAUGCAUCGGAACGUGCCCAGAGGUGGGGGAUAACGCAGCGAAAGCUGUGCUAAUACCGCAUAUUAUCUGAGGAUGAAAGCGGGGGACUAAGCAGCAAUGUUUGGCCUCGCGCCUUUGGAGCGGCCGAUGUCAGAUUAGGUAGUUGGUGGGGUAAAGGCCUACCAAGCCGACGAUCUGUAGCUGGUCUGAGAGGACGACCAGCCACACUGGGACUGAGACACGGCCCAGACUCCUACGGGAGGCAGCAGUGGGGAAUUUUGGACAAUGGGCGCAAGCCUGAUCCAGCAAUGCCGCGUGCAGGAAGAAA
RNAcentral lists this ribosomal RNA (391 nucleotides) under uncultured bacterium. RNAcentral describes it as "bacterial SSU rRNA". It matches the Rfam family "Bacterial small subunit ribosomal RNA", at positions 30 to 413 of the family's 1533-position model. The record is from RNAcentral.